Long non-coding RNA from Sander lucioperca (pikeperch), 643 nucleotides. RefSeq lists it as uncharacterized. The transcript has 3 exons. NCBI's taxonomy places the organism in Eukaryota, Metazoa, Chordata, Actinopteri, Perciformes, Percidae. The record is from RefSeq and is a predicted model, not a curated record.
CACAUAGGAUUAAAAAGAGGUCACUGGAGUUUCUGCGUGGGAAAGUCCCCGACGCCUCAACCUCCUGAACACAGUCAUACUGAGACAGACAGAGAGUUAGUGGAGCUGAUAGUAUUAAUCAGCUUUGAAGCAACUCAUUCUGCAACGGCUUCAAUAUAACGGAAGUCAUUAAUAUCAAAAAGUUACGCACUUAGGCUUUAAAUUAUGCCAACAGAAUCAAAUAGUUCAAACAUAUUAGGUAUAUCAGAAUUUGUGUCUUAUUCUCCGCCUCAAACAUAUCUUAACCCGGUCAUAUUUAUAUACAUCAGUACACGUUAGGAACAGACAGUGUAGUAGUCAGUACACAUUAGGAACAAAGUGUAGUAGUCAGUACACGUUAGGAACAAAGUGUAGUAGUCAGUACACGUUAGGAACAGACAGUGUAGUAGUCAGUACACGUUAGGAACAAAGUGUAGUAGUCAGUACACGUUAGGAACAAACAGUGAAGUAGUCAGUACACUAACAGGGCUGUAGUACUGGAGUCCGGACUCAAGACGCUUUUCUGUUGUCUCAGACUCGUCCUGGACUCGGUCUUGACUAGUCCUGUUCUUGGACUCGACAAAAGGUGGACCUGACUACAGCCCAGCUAUGCCGUCAUUUAAAG